UAGGGAAUCUUCCACAAUGGACGAAAGUCUGAUGGAGCAACGCCGCGUGAGUGAAGAAGGGUUUCGGCUCGUAAAACUCUGUUGUUAAAGAAGAACAUAUCUGAGAGUAACUGUUCAGGUAUUGACGGUAUUUAACCANAAGCCACGGCUAACUACGUGCCAA
Molecule: ribosomal RNA, 163 nt
Filed under: uncultured bacterium
Lineage: Bacteria
Description: partial 16S ribosomal RNA
Rfam family: Bacterial small subunit ribosomal RNA
Source: RNAcentral